This 394-nucleotide ribosomal RNA is filed under the name uncultured bacterium. Its description in RNAcentral is "partial 16S ribosomal RNA". It matches the Rfam family "Bacterial small subunit ribosomal RNA", at positions 523 to 918 of the family's 1533-position model. The record is from RNAcentral.
AUACGGAGGAUGCAAGCGUUAUCCGGAUUUAUUGGGUUUAAAGGGUGCGUAGGCGGAUGAUUAAGCGUGAGGUGAAAUGCCACUGCUCAACAGUGGAUCUGCCUCGCGAACUGGUUGUCUUGAAUGCUCCUGCCGUGGGAGGAAUGUGUGGUGUAGCGGUGAAAUGCAUAGAGAUCACACAGGACACCGAUUGCGAAGGCAUCUCACGAAGGGGUGAUUGACGCUGAGGCACGAAGGCGUGGGGAUCAAACAGGAUUAGAUACCCUGGUAGUCCACGCAGUAAACGAUGAUAACUAACCGCUGGGUCGUAGUGAUUCAGUGGCCAAGCGAAAGCAAUAAGUUAUCCACCUGGGGAGUACGACCGCAAGGUUGAAACUCAAAGGAAUUGACGGGG